Molecule: long non-coding RNA, 339 nt
Organism: Macadamia integrifolia
Lineage: Eukaryota; Viridiplantae; Streptophyta; Magnoliopsida; Proteales; Proteaceae
Exons: 2
Source: RefSeq, a predicted model, not a curated record
AGAUCAUCAAAAGAAAAGGAGAAACCAAUUAGAGGAAGUCGUGGGAUUAGUAAAAAGAUGGCCAAGGCUUUACAUAUCUUUCUCUUCAUUGUUCUCCUCAUCUUAGUGGAAGUGACGAUGGUGGCGAAGAAGGUGAAUGGUAAGGAACCAUGUAUGCAAAUAUGGCGUGGCUGUGGCAGAGACUGUGCCAUAAAAUGUCAAUCUGCAGCACGAGGACCUCAUGCCAAGAGUUCUUGUCAAGUACCCCCGGGGGAACACGACUUGUUUUGUGUAUGCAAAUGGAAAUGUUGAUCUCUCUUUACAAAUGGUCAUUAAUAAAAAUAAAUAAACUCUCUCUCU